AGAGUUUGAUCCUGGCUCAGGAUGAACGUUGGCGGUGUGCCUAAUACAUGCAAGUCGAACGGAGUUAAUAGCAAUAUUGGCUCAGUGGCGAACGGGUGAGUAACGCGUUGGUGAUCUGCCUUGAAGUGUGGAAUAACGUUUCGAAAGGAACGCUAAUACCGCAUGUGCUCUCGAUUUUCAGAAAGUUGAGAGUAAAGGAUUUAUUCGCUUCAAGAGGAGCCUGCGUCCCAUCAGCUGGUUGGUAGGGUAACGGCCUACCAAGGCUAUGACGGGUAGGGGACCUGAGAGGGUGGCCCCCCACAAUGGAACUGAAACACGGUCCAUACACCUACGGGUGGCAGCAGUAGGGAAUAUUAGAAAUGGACGAAAGUCUGAUCUAGCAACACCGCGUGUGCGAAGAAGGCUUUCGGGUCGUAAAGCACUUUUUGGAAGGAAUAGGAAGGAAUGUACUUCCAGAAUAAGUCUCGGCUAACUACGUGCCAGCAGCCGCGGUAAA
RNAcentral lists this ribosomal RNA (496 nucleotides) under uncultured bacterium. Its description in RNAcentral is "bacterial SSU rRNA". It matches the Rfam family "Bacterial small subunit ribosomal RNA", at positions 8 to 524 of the family's 1533-position model. The record is from RNAcentral.